AGGUAUAUUAUAUCUGGCGAUGCGGAUGGAAAACUGUUUAUUUGGGAUUGGAAAUCAACAAAGCUAUAUAGGUAUAGAUUCAUCCUUUAUUCUGAUGGUUUUCAGUAACAGAUGAUGGUCAGCUUGAGAAAUAUUGGCAUUUAUACAAGACUAUUAUAAAUAAUGAAAAGUCUUAAUGUCAGUUAGCCAUUUCCCAAAGUUCUGAGUCUAGUCGCGCAAACCCUAUGUUGGAGGGACAAGAAAUAUGGCAGCUGGUUUAAUGUAAAAAGGAGAACUGAUUUAAUUUUUGGUCGUCUAAAAAGUUGAUAUUUGAUCAUAGAUACUUCUACACUUUCGCAUAUUUGACGCUUGUCUCCAUAUAUUCUGUCACUCCAAACGAUCCCAGAAUACAUUGUGAUCUCUUUUGAGAAAAGGCUGAUUGCUGGUUGACCACCAUCUGCUGCACAAUAGUGCUUCGUGAAGCCAUUUAGGCACACAAAAUCAACUAAUUGUGUUUGUUUCUAUGCAGUAAAUUCAAAGCUCAUGACGCAGUGUGCAUCGGUUGCGCAUGGCACCCGCACGAAACGUCCAAAGUUGUCACGUGCGGCUGGGAUGGAUUGAUAAAGUACUGGGACUGAGUGACGUCAGAUCUAUUGCGUAAUACCUGAUCUACUUCCGAUGUGACUUCAUAAUAUCGCUGGAGUGAGAAGUAGCUAUUAUGUCAAUUUCGUACCUAGGGUCCUUUCUCUCUCGCACUCUGUGAGUACUGUGGUACGACAUUGGCGGUAUUUUUGUUGGAUAGAUAGCGAUGAUGGAUGGCUCUACUGUAGGUAUCAAUGGAUUGGAUAUAAAGCAUUAAAUGUACAUGUACUUACUACGGUGGCCGAUAAGGGCCACCCAGUGAACUCUAAGAGAACUGGAACGAUAACUUGGCCGCCAUCUUUGAAGCCACUCAUGAUGGCCGCCAUGUAGGUAUGGAGUGGAAAAUACGCCACCAAAAAGAUGUCUGUUUUCGACCACUAAAUAGCUGUAUUGCAAACAAGGAAAAAAGCUAAAAACUUUCAACAAUACCUGAAAUUUAAUACAAAACAUGUUUCCAGAACGUAGAGCAGUUAUAAAGUUCUUUUUUCAGGAGUCAAAAUGCGAAGUUUUUUUCAGCACGUUAAGCUGUUACCCAUGGAUUAUUUGCUGUUAGUGGAUAUAAAAUACUUAGAACUAUCCAGGAAACCCAAUUUGAAUCUUUAAGCCUGUUGAUAAAAAAGAAGAAGCCUGUUGAUAAAAAGUGCUUUUUCUUUCUUUUCUCAAAAACAAACUUUUGACUGAAUUUCCCGCUCCUCGAAACUCUCCCCAGUCUUUUUGAAAGUUAAUUUAUUGCUCGCGCAUGUGCUCGCGAGAAGCGCCAUCUUGACUUCAGGAAGGCUUCAGGCAAGUAUAGCUCAGUGGUAUAGCCAGUGAACACUGGGUAUAGCUCAGUGGUAUGGGCAUUAUGGGCAUGUUUACCUGCAGUUAGCGUUCCAGUGUUAUUACAGUUCACUGGACACUGGGGCCACUUCGGCUGCAUGGCAAUGCGACUGUGCUGCGUGGAAACGCGACUGUUGCGUGGAAAUUGACGAUGUCUGUACAAAUGACGGGCCCCGAUAUAAACACAAAGAUUUGCCAUGGAAGUUGUUUGUCAGAAGCUGACCUUCUGCAUGUCAGCAUAAACGUUUCUCUGAGAAAUCUCUCCACGCAACACAGUCGAAUUUCCAUGCAGCACGGAGGUGGCCAAUAUCGGCCACCGUAACCUACCAAUAGUACAUCAAUUAUCCCUGGUUAUCUGUGUGUAACCACAAUGCCCAGCUCAAAAGACCUACCAUUGUGUAUUAUCUAAAGAAGGAAGGAUGUAAUUUGCUGAGGCAUAAAAGACACAAUUUUUUUUACUGGGACAAUUUUACUUCAAAUCACAGUAUUUGUAAAUGCUUGUAUUGUAUAUAUAUUAAAUAAGAC
Paramuricea clavata is the source of this 1965-nucleotide non-coding RNA. Lineage: Eukaryota; Metazoa; Cnidaria; Anthozoa; Malacalcyonacea; Plexauridae. The record is from the annotation of a GenBank genome assembly.